AUUAGAUACCCUGGUAGUCCACGCCGUAAACGGUGGGUGCUAGUUGUGGGCCACAUUCCACGUGGUCCGUGACGAAGUUAACACAUUAAGCACCCCGCCUGGGGAGUACGGUCGCAAGACUAAAACUCAAAGGAAUUGACGGGGGCCCGCACAAGCGGCGGAGCAUGCGGAUUAAUUCGAUGCAACGCGAAGAACCUUACCAAGGCUUGACAUAUAGAGGAAACGUGCAGAAAUGUACGCCCCGCAAGGUCUCUAUACAGGUGGUGCAUGGUUGUCGUCAGCUCGUGUCGUGAGAUGUUGGGUUAAGUCCCGCAACGAGCGCAACCCUCGUCCUAUGUUGCCAGCACGUAAUGGUGGGAACUCAUGGGAGACUGCCGGGGACAACUCGGAGGAAGGUGGGGAUGACGUCAAAUCAUCAUGCCCCUUAUGUCUUGGGCUUCACGCAUGCUACAAUGGCCAGUACAAAGGGCUGCAAUACCGUAAGGUGGAGCGAAUCCCAAAAAGCUGGUCUCAGUUCGGAUUGAGGUCUGCAACUCGACCUCAUGAAGUCGGAGUCGCUAGUAAUCGCAGAUCAGCAACGCUGCGGUGAAUACGUUCCCGGGCCUUGUACACACCGCCCGUCAAGUCACGAAAGUCGGUAACACCCGAAGACCGUGGCCUAACCGUAAGGAAGGAGCCGUCGAAGGUG
RNAcentral lists this ribosomal RNA (688 nucleotides) under uncultured Actinomycetes bacterium. RNAcentral's name for it is "bacterial SSU rRNA". It matches the Rfam family "Bacterial small subunit ribosomal RNA", at positions 777 to 1464 of the family's 1533-position model. Lineage: Bacteria; Bacillati; Actinomycetota; Actinomycetes. The record is from RNAcentral.